This 49-nucleotide microRNA precursor is filed under the name Trypanosoma vivax Y486. Lineage: Eukaryota; Euglenozoa; Kinetoplastea; Trypanosomatida; Trypanosomatidae. The record is from RNAcentral.
ACCCGUGACAGUCAAACGCUUUGGCAUCAAAGCGUUUGGCCGUCACAAA